RNAcentral lists this ribosomal RNA (320 nucleotides) under uncultured eukaryote. RNAcentral describes it as "partial 18S ribosomal RNA". It matches the Rfam family "Eukaryotic small subunit ribosomal RNA", at positions 1470 to 1796 of the family's 1831-position model. The record is from RNAcentral.
CCCCUAGAUGUUCUGGGCCGCACGCGCGCUACACUGAACAGUUCAACAAGUCUUAACCUUGGCCGAUAGGUCUGGGUAAUCUUUGAACGCUGUUCGUGAUUGGGAUAGACCUUUGCAAUUAUGGGUCUUCAACGAGGAAUUCCUAGUAAACGCAAGUCAUCAGCUUGCAUUGAUUACGUCCCUGCCCUUUGUACACACCGCCCGUCGCACCUACCGAUUGAAUGGUCCGGUGAAAUCUCGGGACGGCGGCUUGGUCGCUUGCGUCCGACUGCUGAAACUUGACUAAACCAUAUCAUUUAGAGGAAGGUGAANUCGUAACA